This 165-nucleotide ribosomal RNA is filed under the name uncultured bacterium. RNAcentral describes it as "partial 16S rRNA". It matches the Rfam family "Bacterial small subunit ribosomal RNA", at positions 355 to 511 of the family's 1533-position model. The record is from RNAcentral.
UAGGGAAUCUUCGGCAAUGGGGGCAACCCUGACCGAGCAACGCCGCGUGAGUGAAGAAGGUUUUCGGAUCGUAAAGCUCUGUUGUAAGAGAAGAACGUGUGUGAGAGUGGAAAGUUCACACAGUGACGGUAACUUACCAGAAAGGGACGGCUAACUAUGUGCCAA